CCCUUUUCAUUAUCUUCCUAGGAAAACAGUUACCCAUAGGAGCCCAGAACCUUGCCUAGAGUCACCCUGCCAGCAAGUGGCAGAGCUGCGAUUUGAAUCUGGGGCUUAUGCAUCUGAUUCUGCUGAGGAUGUCAAAUUACCAGGCUUUGGUCUAAGCAGAAGUCAGGGGACAGCAGUGAAAAGAGCACGGUUCCACACCUUGAUGCCGUCUCUCACUUUCCCUCUGUGUGACCUUGGAUAGAAAGUUUCGCUUUGGAGUGCAGUGAUGCAGUCACGGCUGACUGCAGCCAUAACCUCAUGGGCUCAAGUGAUCCUCCCACCUCAGCCUCCCAAGUAGCUGGGACCACAGGUAUGCACCACCAUUCCCAGCUAAUUUCUUCUUAUUUUUUGUAGACACAGGGUAUCCCUAUGUUACCUAGG
RNAcentral lists this long non-coding RNA (420 nucleotides) under Homo sapiens (human). RNAcentral describes it as "HSALNT0318822". The record is from RNAcentral. Lineage: Eukaryota; Metazoa; Chordata; Mammalia; Primates; Hominidae.